RNAcentral lists this non-coding RNA (30 nucleotides) under Mus musculus (house mouse). The record is from RNAcentral. Lineage: Eukaryota; Metazoa; Chordata; Mammalia; Rodentia; Muridae.
UACAGAAAUGGUAUGGUCAUGGUAUGCCUU